AGGUCGAACGAGACAAGAUGGAAGUGCUUGCACGGAAAUCUUAGAAAGUGGCGAACGGGUGAGUAACGCGUGGGUAACCUGCCCUAUGGAAGGGAAUAGCCUCGGGAAACUGGGAGUAAUGCCUUAUAAUAUAAAGAAGUCGCAUGGCUUUUUUAUUAAACGCUCCGGUGCCAUAGGAUGGACCCGCGUCCCAUUAGCUAGUUGGUGAGAUAACAGCUCACCAAGGCGACGAUGGGUAACCGGUCUGAGAGGGCGAACGGUCACACUGGAACUGAGACACGGUCCAGACUCCUACGGGAGGCAGCAGUGGGGAAUAUUGCGCAAUGGGGGAAACCCUGACGCAGCAAUACCGCGUGAGUGAAGAAGGUUUUCGGAUCGUAAAGCUCUGUUAUUGGGGAAGAAAAAAAGACGGUACCCAAGAAGAAAGUCCCGGCUAACUACGUGCCAGCAGCCGCGGUAAUACGUAGGGGACAAGCGUUGUCCGGAUUUACUGGGCGUAAAGGGCACGCAGGCGGUUUUUUAAGUCAGAUGUGAAAGGUACCGGCUCAACCGGUGACAUGCAUUUGAAACUGAAAGACUUGAGUAUUGGAGAGGCAAGUGGAAUUCCUAGUGUAGCGGUGAAAUGCGUAGAUAUUAGGAGGAACACCGGUGGCGAAGGCGGCUUGCUGGACAAAUACUGACGCUGAGGUGCGAAAGCGUGGGGAGCAAACAGGAUUAAAUACCCUGGUA
RNAcentral lists this ribosomal RNA (729 nucleotides) under uncultured bacterium. RNAcentral describes it as "bacterial SSU rRNA". It matches the Rfam family "Bacterial small subunit ribosomal RNA", at positions 59 to 792 of the family's 1533-position model. The record is from RNAcentral.